UCACACAGCUCUGCUGUGACAGAUGGAAGCUGCACCAACGGCUGCAAAGAACUGAGUCUGGAGCCAAGACUGAAUUUAAUCUCCAGGGAGAAAUGUACAAACAGCUGGGAGGGCAAGGAGGAGCUGCAGUGUGCGAGGGAAAUUCUCUGGAGCAGAUUUUGGGGUGCUGGAGUGGAUCUCGGAAGCGACAUGAAUCUUUUCUGUUUUUCUCUGGAAGGUUCAAUGGACAGCUUGUAUGAGCCUGUCCCAGAACAUCAAGAACCUAAGGAUACAAUUAGUAUCAGCAGCCAAGCUAGCACUCCAGCAAGCACGUAUGUCAGCUGUGGACCACCCGAUAGGUCUAUGUCUUUGGAAUUUCCUGACUUUGAGAACACUGUGACCAAAAAAAGAACAUCCAUCCAGAAGUCCAUGUCUGAAAAUG
RNAcentral lists this long non-coding RNA (421 nucleotides) under Dromaius novaehollandiae (emu). RNAcentral's name for it is "lncRNA (ENSDNVG00000005889.1)". Lineage: Eukaryota; Metazoa; Chordata; Aves; Casuariiformes; Dromaiidae. The record is from RNAcentral.